UGCAUGUCUCAGUACUUGCUUUAACAAGGCGAAACCGCGAAUGGCUCAUUAAAUCAGUUAUGGUUCACUAGAUCGUAAAUCCUACACGGAUAACUGUGGUAAUUCUAGAGCUAAUACGUGCAAACGGCUCGUUCCCUUGUGGAGCGAGCGCAGUUAUUAGAACAAAACCAAUCCGGCCUUCGGGUCGGUUAAAAUGGUGACUCUGAAUAACCGAAGCGGAGCGUAUGGUCUCGUACCGACGCCAGAUCUUUCAAGUGACUGCUCUAUCAGCUUGUUGCUAGGUUAUGCUCCUAGCAAGGCUUCAACGGGUAACGGGGUAUCAGGGUCCGAUACCGGAGAGGGAGCCUGAGAAACGGCUACCACAUCCAAGGAAGGCAGCAGGCGCGCAAAUUACCCACUCCCAGCACGGGGAGGUAGUGACGAAAAAUAACGAUGCGAGGGCAUAUUGCUUCUCGUAAUCGGAAUGGGUACACUUUAAAUCCUUUAACGAGGAUCUAUUGGAGGGCAAGUCUGGUGCCAGCAGCCGCGGUAAUUCCAGCUCCAAUAGCGUAUAUUAAAGUUGCUGCGGUUAAAAAGCUCGUAGUUGGAUCUGGGCAGCUGGAUGUGCGGUGCGCUUUACAGCGUUACUGCUCGUUUGGCGCCACAAGCCGGCCAUGUCUUGCAUGCUCUUCACUGGGUGUGCUUGGCGACCGGAACGUUUACUUUGAAAAAAUUAGAGUGCUCAAAGCAGGCGUAUGGCCUUGCAUAAUGGUGCAUGGAAUAAUGGAAUAGGACCUCGGUUCUAUUUUGUUGGUUAUCGGAGCUCGAGGUAAUGAUUAAGAGGAACAGACGGGGGCAUUCGUAUUGCGGCGUUAGAGGUGAAAUUCUUGGAUCG
RNAcentral lists this ribosomal RNA (874 nucleotides) under Mesobiotus hilariae. RNAcentral describes it as "SSU rRNA". It matches the Rfam family "Eukaryotic small subunit ribosomal RNA", at positions 52 to 927 of the family's 1831-position model. Lineage: Eukaryota; Metazoa; Tardigrada; Eutardigrada; Parachela; Macrobiotidae. The record is from RNAcentral.